CUUAUCAAGAGCGGCGGAGGAACUGGUCCUGUGAAGCCCGGCAACCUGAUUAUGAUACGCCUUUCGGUCGUAUAUAAAGAAGGUGCUAAAUCCUGCGGAGAUAUUCCGAGAGAUGAGG
This 118-nucleotide non-coding RNA is filed under the name pig gut metagenome. RNAcentral's name for it is "SAM riboswitch (S box leader)". It matches the Rfam family "SAM riboswitch aptamer (S box leader)". Rfam says of the family: The SAM riboswitch is found upstream of a number of genes which code for proteins involved in methionine or cysteine biosynthesis in Gram-positive bacteria. The SAM riboswitch acts at the level of transcription termination control. The record is from RNAcentral.